CCUACGGGUGGCAGCAGUGGGGAAUAUUGGGCAAUGGACGAGACUCUGACCCAGCCACGCCGCGUGAAUGAUGACGGUCUUCCGGGUUGAAAGUUCUUUUCUAAAAGGAGAAAAGUGUGACAGUACCUUAGUAAUAUGCGUCGUCUAAGUACGUGCCAGCAGACGCGGUGAUACGUAGGAGGCGAGCGUUAUCCGGAAUUGCUGGGUGUAAAGAGUGCGUAGGUGGUUUGGGAAGUUAGUUGCGUAACUUCACGGCUCAACCGUGGAAUUGCUAUUAAUACUGGCGGUCUUGAGUGCAGUGGGGGUAAGCGGAAUUCGUGGUGUAGCGGUGAAAUGCGUAGAUAUCACGAAGAACACCGGUUGCGAAGGCGGCUUGCUAGACUGCCACUGACAUUGAGGCACGAAAGUGUGGGGAGCAAACAGGAUUAGAUACCCCUGUAGUC
This 443-nucleotide ribosomal RNA is filed under the name uncultured bacterium. Its description in RNAcentral is "partial 16S ribosomal RNA". It matches the Rfam family "Bacterial small subunit ribosomal RNA", at positions 338 to 795 of the family's 1533-position model. The record is from RNAcentral.